Molecule: long non-coding RNA, 235 nt
Filed under: Nicotiana benthamiana
Lineage: Eukaryota; Viridiplantae; Streptophyta; Magnoliopsida; Solanales; Solanaceae
Description: long non-coding RNA (NBEN_LNC033033)
Source: RNAcentral
CUAAGAAUAUUUUUGUAUGUUGUUAUUUUGCUUAUUUAUAAUUAUUAUGGCAUUUUGGUUGAAAAAUAUAUUCGGUAAAGAAAAAUCUAAAACAGGUGAAAGUAGUCGCCAAAAUACUACCCCUCUCCCGACUCCCAGACCUAGAAAAGAUAAGCAAGUUCAAAGUAGUAGCCAACCUAUAAAUCCAAAUGAACCCUUCGGAAUCCUUGAUAGUGAUCACCCUUGUUUUCAAUNN